GAACUGCGAAACGUGAUGUGAAACGCAGGACUCGUGAAUCAUCGAAUCUUUGAACGCACAUUGCGCCCUUUGGUAUUCCAAAGGGCAUGCCUGUUCGAGCGUCAUUUGUACCCUCAAGUCCCCUGUGGACUUGGUGUUGGGGAUCGGCGAGGCUGGUUUUCCAGCACAGCCGUCCCUUAAAUUAAUUGGCGGUCUCGCCGUGGCCCUCCUCUGCGCAGUAGUAAAACACUCGCAACAGGAGCCCGGCGCGGUCCACUGCCGUAAAACCCCCCAACUUUUUAUAGUUGACCUCGAAUCAGGUAGGACUACCCGCUGAACUUAA
This 322-nucleotide unclassified non-coding RNA is filed under the name uncultured Metarhizium. RNAcentral describes it as "sequence contains ITS1". The stretch from base 1 to 104 matches the Rfam family "5.8S ribosomal RNA", at positions 50 to 154 of the family's 154-position model. Lineage: Eukaryota; Fungi; Ascomycota; Sordariomycetes; Hypocreales; Clavicipitaceae. The record is from RNAcentral.